RNAcentral lists this ribosomal RNA (266 nucleotides) under uncultured bacterium. RNAcentral describes it as "partial 16S ribosomal RNA". It matches the Rfam family "Bacterial small subunit ribosomal RNA", at positions 87 to 354 of the family's 1533-position model. The record is from RNAcentral.
UAUGGCGACCGGCGCACGGGUGAGUAACACGUAUCCAACCUGCCUCAUACUCGGGGAUAGCCUUUCGAAAGAAAGAUUAAUACCCGAUGUCAUAGUCCUACCGCAUGAUGGGAUUAUUAAAGAAUUUCGGUAUGGGAUGGGGAUGCGUUCCAUUAGUUAGUUGGCAGGGUAACGGCCCACCAAGACAACGAUGGAUAGGGGUUCUGAGAGGAAGGUCCCCCACAUUGGAACUGAGACACGGCCCAGACUCCUACGGGAGGCAGCAG